GAAUAUUGGACAAUGGGCGAAAGCCUGAUCCAGCCAUGCCGCGUGUGUGAAGAAGGUCUUCGGAUUGUAAGGCACUUUAAGUUGGGAGGAAGGGCAGUAAGCGAAUACCUUGCUGUUUUGACGUUACCGCCAGACUAAGCCCCGGCUAACUCUGUUCCAGCCGCCGCGGUAAUACAGAGGGUGCAAGCGGUCAUCGGAAUUACUGGGCGUAAAGCGCGCGUAGGUGGUUCGUUAAGUUGGAUGUGAAAUCCCCGGGCUCAAACUGGGAACCGCAUCCAAAACUGGCGAGCUAGAGUAGGGCAGAGGGUGGUGGAAUUUCCUGUGUAGCGGUGAAAUGCGUAGAUAUAGGAAGGAACACCAGUGGCGAAGGCGACCACCUGGGUUAAUACUGACACUGAGGUGCGAAAGCGUGGGGAGCAAACAG
This 424-nucleotide ribosomal RNA is filed under the name uncultured bacterium. RNAcentral's name for it is "partial 16S ribosomal RNA". It matches the Rfam family "Bacterial small subunit ribosomal RNA", at positions 359 to 775 of the family's 1533-position model. The record is from RNAcentral.